UUUAUUUAUUUAUUUAUUUAUUACAUGUAAGUACACUGUAGCUGUCUUCAGACCCUCCAGAAGAGGGAGUCAGAUCUCAUUACGGAUGGUUGUGAGCCACCAUGUGGUUGCUGGGAUUUGAACUUCAGACCUUCGGAAGAGCAGUCGGGUGCUCUUACCCACUGAGCCAUCUCACCAGCCCCAAAGAUUUAUUUAUUUAUUUAUUAUAUGUAAGUACACUGUAGCUGUCCUCAGACACUCCAGUCUGAUCUCGUCACGGAUGGUUGUGAGCCACCACGUGGUUGCUGGGAUUUGAACUCCUGACCUUCGGAAGAGUCACUGUGGUUUCUAUAGGCCUGUUAAGCCAUACAUUGCUUGUAUGUAGCACGUGAUUUUGGGGGUCUCCCCCCCUCCCAGCUCUACCAGAAUAGUGAGACUAUAAUAUAUUAGAAUAAGUUGAAGUUUAUAUUAGUAGAUUUUGACAAAUACUGGGAAAAUUUUAACAACUGGCUAAAUUACUGAAUUAGGAUCUCAUUAGCCCCAGCUAAUCCAAAAUGGGCCAUGUUGUAAUGAAAAUGGUAAUAGGUUAUUUUAAAACUUAUUAUAGCGCUUAAUAUUUGUUGAAUCUUUUGUAUUGUGAUCUCUGUUUUGACUAAUUUGGCUCGACAUCCACAGUCGUCAGUUUGGGCUUUCCAAGUGUAUAAGUGAUCUCUGCAUGCUCUGGAGCAGCUUGGUUCCGUUACAUCUGUGUGAUUAAGCAAGUGGAAAAUUUGUCAUGUCACUGGGAUAUUUUCGCUUUUAUAGAAGUUAGCCGGCUGGCCCUUCUCCUUUGCUUCCUCUAUUAGAAAUGCUAUGAACAUCAGAGAGGAGAGGGUGACCUUAAUAUUUGCUUCUCCGACUAAAUCACAGCCUUGAAGCAGCUAUUUCUUUUCAAAUAAGAAGUUUAAUUUCACGCCCUGAUUAGUGCUAGUGCGUGCAGGUGGAUAUUUCUUUUAUGCAGCUAAACUGAUCUGCCCUUGCAAAUUACUUGCCAGUCAGCAGAACUGUAGUUUCUUAUGUGUAGUUGUUGUUGAGUUAUAGUUCUCAUUAGUAAGUUUUGUAUCUUUUCAAAAAAUAUUACCGAUUUAUGAGGUAGGGGUGUAUUUCAGUCACUAAAUUUUGGCCACACUAUAAUUUAUAUUUUCCCUCAAAGCUCAAGGAUUGAUGAGCUUAAAUUAACAGGCUAAAUUAAUUAGCAGUGGAGUCAGAUCUUGUCUCCAGUUGAUUAAAAAAACAGUGUACUCAGGAUCUAGUAAAAGUGAUUCCUUGAGGGGAAGUCCAAAAAAAGAAAUUGUCUUAGUGAGGAAUAAAAUACUGUGUGGUCAAAAUGUGAGUGUGCAGAGAAGCUUAAAGAACAGGGAGGUAAACUGAGGAAAGGUGGGUAAGAUUUGAAGUGCAAGGACGGUAUUGAACCUUUAUUUAUUUAGACAGUCUUAUGGGCUGGAGAACUCAUUAGGUAGACCAAGCAAGCUUUGAGCCCAGAGAUACAUCUGUGUCUGUUACAAUUAAAGGCAUGGCCAUCAUGUUUAGCUAUUAUUGAAUAUUUUUAAAGAUUUUUAUUUAUUUGUGUGGGUUUGUUUCUCUGUGUGAGUCUAGUACACCAUAGUUGUACAAGUGCCCUUAGAGACCAGAAGAUGUCAGAUUCCUAAGAGCUUGGGUUAUAGUUAGUUGGCUGUGAGCCAUUCAAUUUGGGUGUGAGAAACUUAACUCGGCUCCUUUGCAAGAACAGCAAAUAUUCUUAACUACUGAGCCACCUCUUUUUCUUCCUUGGAAUAAUUGUUGUUGUUGUUGUUGUUUUAUUAUUGUUGUUGUUAUUUUAAUUAUUAUUAUUAUCAUUAUUAUUGUUAUUAUUAUUGAGACAGUCUCACUACAUUGCCCUGUAACUUGCUAAGUAGACUAGGCUGGUCUUGAACUCACACAAACUUCCUAAUUCUACCUCCAGAGUUCUGGGAUUAAAGGCAUGGCUACCUUUCUGGCUGAUAAUUGAAUAUUUAGUUGUUUAACUGCCAUGGAACUGAAAGAAUGCUGAGAUUUGAGCCUAAGGUCUUUACAUGCUAGGCAUGUGCUAGACCGUUGAACUAUAUAUCCUUGCUCCCUUAGCAUUUAAAACAAGACUGACUUUCAUUAGAUUUGAACCAAGGAUAAAUAUAAUUAAUUAGAAGGAAGUAUAGUCUAGUUUUGGUGUGUCCGUUCUUAGACCUUUUUAUCUCAGAUGGAACCAGGUUCUCAUGGAUCAUAAACUUGAGGUAUUUGGAGGAUCAUCUUAAAUUCAAGGUGGCCUGACCUUUUGUGGUCACAGUCUGCUCUGCAGCAAGAUCCUCUCCCGUCUCUUACAUUUUGCACACCGUUUCAGAAGAUUCAGCAAUCUCUGAAUCCUAUCUGUGGGUCCUAGUUAAUGUUCCCGUACUAACCUUAUUUAUUUAUUUAUUUUGAUUGUUGUGUGGUUUUUGUUUUUGAGACAGGGUUUCUCUCAAACUCAGAAAUCUGUAGUAAGAAUUUCAGGUUAUGGUUUCUCUAAACAAAGAAACAUUGUAAGAACAUGUUUUUGUUUUAAUCCCAGAUAAGAGAAUGUGGAGCUGCUUCAGACUGUCUGCAGCAGUUGACUGUGAUUUGUCUCCUGCUCUAGCAGAGGUGUGGUUUUGCCAGCUGCAGAUAGUUUCUGUGAUUGUGGAAUUCUGGGAACUUUUCAGAGGGUAUAUAAAUGCUAGAACCCUGAUAGGUGGGAUAGGAAGUUGGUUGUUUGAGGGGGUUGGUUUUGAUUUGUUAGUAGUCCUGCUCAAAGAAGCAAC
Molecule: long non-coding RNA, 2807 nt
Filed under: Mus musculus (house mouse)
Lineage: Eukaryota; Metazoa; Chordata; Mammalia; Rodentia; Muridae
Description: long non-coding RNA chr19:45387885-45390692
Source: RNAcentral